This is a long non-coding RNA of Cervus elaphus (red deer), 518 nucleotides long. RefSeq lists it as uncharacterized. The record is from RefSeq and is a predicted model, not a curated record. The transcript has 4 exons. Lineage: Eukaryota; Metazoa; Chordata; Mammalia; Artiodactyla; Cervidae.
GGAGAGGGGCGCUGGUUGGUUUAACACAGGACGUGCCCGGGUCGUGCCCUUUUAGCUUCCGCCUGUGUUCCAGGCUGUCACAUAUUCCUGUAGAUAGUGGUUCUUGGUUGUUCUGCUUUUAACUUAAGUCUACAGUCCCUGACUUACAGUGAUUCAAUUUAUAAUUUUGUGCUUUGCAAAAGCAAAAGUUGAGGACAAACUGUACAUGGAAUUUUGAACUUUGAUCAUUUCCUGAGCUGGCGAUAAGUAGUAUGAUACUCUUGUGAUGCUGGGGAGUGACAAUGAAGCUGUCAGCCACACAGUCGGAAAGUUCUGGAGGUUAGAAGUACAAGAUCAAGGGUCUAGCUGAUUUGUGGUUUCCAGUGAUGGCUCCCUUCCUGCCACUCCUCAGCACUAGCUUCACUGCCUCAGCUCCACCUCAGAUCAUCAGGCACUGGAUUAUCAUAAAGAGUAUGUUUUCCCCACAGCCAGUCCCUCCCAUCAGAAGGCAGACAGAAGAACUACAAUCCCAUAGCCUC